Molecule: long non-coding RNA, 624 nt
Organism: Hippopotamus amphibius kiboko
Lineage: Eukaryota; Metazoa; Chordata; Mammalia; Artiodactyla; Hippopotamidae
Exons: 3
Source: RefSeq, a predicted model, not a curated record
GUUACUUUUUACCUUAAGGCUUGCAAAACAAUAGGCUUUGUUGGAGAUCCAUUCCCAUCCUGUGGACUUUUCGAUAUAUACACUGGAAAUCCUUGUCAACAGGCUACUUGUCAUAGUAUAAACAUAAAGGAUGUGGAGGCCUCAUCCAAUGAGUUGAAGACCUUUAAAUGAAGACUGAGCACCCCCAAGGAAGAGGGAAUUCUGUCAGCCCACUGCCUUUGGGCUCAAACUGCUAUAUCAACAUUUCCCUGGGGCUCCAGCCUGCUGGCCUACCCUGCAGAUGACAGGCUUGCCAGCCUCCACAAUCAGCCUCCCAUGAAUUUGUACUCAAGACGAGGAUGGCUCUGCCACAAGGCAUGUUCCCAUAGCAUCAAUUAGCUCGUCCCCUAGGUCAACAGGUGAAUGAUGCUGAAGUGGAAGCUGCAUUUCCCAGCAUGUUGAUGCUCUGCGCCCAAGUAACAGCCACCAAAUGCAAGCCCAUUACUGCAGCUGAAGGCAGCAGGCUGCAAGCUGAACACAGUGCUGGACACAAUGCCCACACUCCAGGUCUUUCUCUUAGCACAGGCUGUCCACAUGCUUUGUGUUUGUGCAUUUGGUCCUUGUCCCCAUAACUCAGCAGCCACA